Molecule: long non-coding RNA, 1147 nt
Organism: Otolemur garnettii (small-eared galago)
Lineage: Eukaryota; Metazoa; Chordata; Mammalia; Primates; Galagidae
Exons: 6
Source: RefSeq, a predicted model, not a curated record
UAGCUGUGUCCAGGCACUGAGCAGGGUUCUUCAAGUACAAUAAUGAAGCUGCAUGAUAGAGCUAUCUAAUAAAAUUCUCUCAUACCCAAGUGAUUUGUAGCAUGCUCUUCAAUCUUUGCAGGUCUGAAGGAGUGUGGGCAUGUUCCUCUCAGCUUUACUCCGCCCAUGGGUGGCCCAUUCAGCCUGAGUAUCUGCGGUUCAUGGGGAAGUUCCAUCAUGACCUGCACGAUUUGCUUCUCCUCACUCGUACAGUCUCUAAAGCAAAGGUUAUUUGUAAACAUUGUGCAAACAUCUGAAUAUCGUCCACCCUGCUGUCAUCAGCAACAUUUAGUCACUUCUGAGCACUAAGAGAGAAGACAAAAUGAAUUCAGGAUAAAACGAUUUCAAGUCUAGACUCAGUAAAAUGACUUUUUAAUAAUUUGUCAAAUCCCAGAAAAAUUAAGCAACAUGGUGCCUACGUUUUUAUUCUCAAGGGGAAAAAAAGGGAGACUUACAGGAGGUUCUUUGCAACUGAUUUAUGCAGGAUGAGCAGUGGCAGAAGCCUCCUGGUAGGUUGCCCAAGCAAACCCCAUCUUGACUCUAUUACAGGGGACAUAACUCAGAGAAGAGAGACAUGGGGCGGACUCCUGUCCUUGCACCGGCCCAAUUGCAGAAAUAUGCCGAGAGAAAUAGGCCGACACUGCAAACCUCUGACACUCUGAUAUGAAGAGCCUGCCUGACCUGCGGAAGGUGAUACCGCCCAGGAGAUGAGGGAGGGGAGAGAUCAGCAGUGGCUUGGGGGAGGCUCAGGUCAGAAGCGAGAAGCCCAAAAGGGUUAGAGUUGGAAGAUUUCAAAAGUUGGAGUGAGGGGAGAACUUUCACUAUAGUGAUUAUGAGAGAGGCUCUGAGCAAUGGACUUUACGUUGCCCAGCAGGAUGAAAGUGUAAUCAGUGUAGAGGAAGAAGCAGAAACGAGCUGAGAGAGGAGGCAGCUACCCCAGAAGCUCCUGGAGAGAGGUGGUGCCAAGCCUUGGAGCAUUUGUUGAGAUUGCUGGAGGUGCAUUUUUCAGGGCAAAGAUUUAGCAGCACUGCGACACGUCUAAGAAGGUCUCCGUGUUGGAUUUACUGCUGUGGCUAGACAGGUAACUUGAAUUCCUCUGCUUGUGAUU